Molecule: ribosomal RNA, 542 nt
Filed under: Diaspis manzanitae
Lineage: Eukaryota; Metazoa; Arthropoda; Insecta; Hemiptera; Diaspididae
Description: eukaryotic LSU rRNA
Source: RNAcentral
AUCUGGGCGGCGGAAUUCAGCAUGAUGGCAGGACGCGUGCUCGCGCGCUUGUUCGGCCAUUUGAUAUUUCCGUCGCCGUCGCAGACGUCGCGACCUGUUUGUCGUCGGUCCUUGCUCGGAGGAAUCGCGAUCGAGUUCGUUGCGGGGCGUGUUUCGGCGCGUCUCGCGACGAAGACGCGGCUCUCUGGCUGACGCGCGGACAGUAAGCAACGGUGGCCGGCGCGGUGUCUCGCAUUCCGCGUCCGGUGCCGGUCAGCGACGAUUUCUUCGGGCCUCUUUCCGACCCGUCUUGAAACACGGACCAAGGAGUCUAACAUGCGCGCGAGUCGCGGGGUUUCGAGCGUGCCACGGUACGCUCGUUACUUCCGAAACCCGUACGUUGAAGGCGUAAUGAAAGUGAACAGGGAAGAUGGCGUUCCGAGUCCACGAACCGUGAUCGAGUAUCGCGGCCGGACGCCCGCACUCCCGGGGCGUCUCGAUGGCUCGUCGCGGAUGCGGACGGUCGUUCUUCGCGGGGCGGCGGUCGGUCUGCGACGGACCGA